Prosopis cineraria is the source of this 2134-nucleotide RNA transcript. RefSeq lists it as uncharacterized. The transcript has 2 exons. Lineage: Eukaryota; Viridiplantae; Streptophyta; Magnoliopsida; Fabales; Fabaceae. The record is from RefSeq and is a predicted model, not a curated record.
AUAAAAAAUGGAGAUAAAAAAGUGAAAAAAAAAGAGAGAAGAAAAGGAAGUCCUUCUUCCCUUCCUCCAAGCCCAUAUUCUAGUCACAGCCAAAAUUCCAAACCCACAUGAACCCUCCCCCUCUUCGUCUUCAUCCUCCUCCACCUCAUCAUCAUAUCACUGUCGAUAUGAGCUAGCACAUCAUUUGUAAAUAUAGAGGGGAAGGAAUCAAUCAGAUCCAUUCGUUCACGUCCAUCUAUUAGUCUGGUUUGUCUCGCCAUCAAAUCCUUUCGUGAAUUUCAGACUCUAAGGCUAUGAUUGACAUGCAAUUUCUGACUUGAACUUUGUUAAUAGACCAUAAGAGCAGCAAGGCUCGGAGUUGGGAUGCGAUUGGCUUUUUUCCAUCGAUGCCGAGGAAGUUGUUCACAUCAUGAUUACUAGUUCAUUUUCUUCAUUCCUUCUGUUGCCCUGUUCUUCAGUAAUCUUCUUCUAUAAAACCUAGAAAAGGGUUUAACCAAAACCCAAAUCUCACACCCUUGAAUUCGUUGACGUCCUCGCGUGAUGGAAGAGCCCGAGCAUAGCCUUAAGUGUGGGAGGGGAAUGGAAUUCAAAGCCUUGAUUUUUACUUGUAGAGCGGUAUGGGCUUGGAGGGGAAGGAAGAGCUUAAGCACGAUUCAAGUUCGUCAAAUUCAAAGCGUUGACUUUUUAUUGAGACCAAUAGUUUGUAUUGUAUUAUAGUUAUGAGAUUAUGGUUUUCUAAUUUGUCUUCAGAUUUUUUGUUUUAGAUUAAUCUUGUAAUGAUUUUUUAUAUCUUUAGGUUUGAUUUAUUCUAGUUUCUGCUUUGAUAUAUUUCUGGGUUCGAUCUUUUUAAAUUAACCCAAUCUUCAUUGAAGUUACAUCUCCUUGGCUUCAUCACUUGGAUUUUGGCGUGGCUGGAUGUGUGUCAAUGGUCUUUUUGGCAUAAAUUUUGCUAACUCUCUGCCUGGUUCAUAUGAAGAGAACUUGAAUUCUUGAUCUGGGGUUUAGUUUCUUGUGUUUUUGCCUGCUCUUAGAUGUUUUAGAAAGCCUCAUGUUCUGGAUCUGGGUUUUCAAUUCUUGACUGACAUCCGGCAAGGUAUAAGGGAGAUGAAGCAUUUGCCAAGGUGAAACUCAGGAACUUCGAAGGCAGCCUGAUGAGAUUUGGGAUCAUCAUUCAUUAGGGAGCUUCACCUUGAUCUUCAUUCAACAUAAAGCAAGAAGGUGAUUAGGGAUCUCAUUUCACCCAUGAGAGUGAUUUCGAAAAUUAGGGAUUUGAGUUCUGCACAAAGCGAUUGGGUGAUCCAACUUCGUCUUUGAGUGUUAGGGCGAUUCGACUUUGUCUUCAUGCAGCCAGUUGAUCUCAUUCAUCAGAAAGAGGACCUAGAAUUCAUGGAUUAGUAUUCAAAUGGCUGCUUACUAGUUACUUCCCAUAGUUUCAUUCGAAAUGCUUGCUUGCUUUGAUUCUUAUGUUACAAAACAUAAGAUGCCCAAACUACAUCUUUGUUCGACUAGUUGCUUUGAAUUUGAUAGGUCAUAGUGUAAUUUUAUGAACUUCAUAGUUAUAGUCUAAUUUUAUUUUAGGAUAAUAAUUACUUGGUAUAUUUUGAUAGGUUCACUCAUUGAAUUUUUCUUCUCUUGAAAAUGGUUCCCUCUCUAGAUGGGCUGUAACCCCAAACACAUUCUGAUAAUCUGAUUUCAUGUAUGUUUAACAGAAUUGCAAUGGUAGGUUGUGUGCCUAUAGAACCCCCAAGCUUUUAUUCUAAAAUGAUGCAAGACUUAGUGGCAGCAAUAUGGUUUGGUGGAAGUAUUGAUUCUUGAAAAGUACUAAGAAGAGAAUGAGAGCAUGAAGGAAAACAAAGAGAAGGAGAGCAUGAAGGAAGAGAAACAACAUUUGAAAGAAGACAAAGCACACUUGAAACAAGAGAAUGAGGGCAUGGUGAAAGAGAUUGAGAGGUUGAAGAUAAAUUUAUAGAGCUUAAAGAUUGUGUUGUUUAUUAGUGGCUAUCAUGUAUCUUUUAUUGUACUAAAAGUAGUGGAAUGUACUAAAAAGUAGUGGAAUAUGACGUAGGUAGAUAGACCACUGUUAUUGUAAUUUAUGAAACUAUUAUUAUGAAAGAAAGAUGAGUUUUGUUGCUAA